UGCCACUGCUCUUCUGGAGCCUGCAGCAUGGGGCCCCUGCCGCGCACCGUGGAGCUCUUCUAUGACGUGCUGUCCCCCUACUCCUGGCUGGGCUUCGAGAUCCUGUGCCGGUAUCAAAAUAUCUGGAACAUCAACCUGCAGUUGCGGCCCAGCCUCAUAACAGGAAUCAUGAAAGACAGUGGAAACAAGCCUCCGGGUCUGCUUCCCCGCAAAGGACAAUACAUGGCAAAUGACUUAAAGCUCCUGAGACACCAUCUCCAGAUUCCCAUCCAUUUCCCCAAGGAUUUCUUGUCUGUGAUGCUUGAAAAAGGUGAAGAGAGUGGGAUGUAGACAGGGUAUCCAGUGAAGAACAGAGAAGUCGGAGAUUGAGGGAUUGAUGGGAUGGAGGGGCUGCGGGAGACUAAAGCAAGUGAAGCCUGCCUUGGGAAACCUCAGGAUCAGCGUUGAGGGAGCUGAAGGUUGCCGGGCAUGAAAGGGAAGAAGAGCAGGCAAAUAGGUCAUGGGAACCUUGGGUGAGAGGCUGAGGGCGAAGGAGCUCUGGGGGAUGUCAGAAGCAAGGAAGAGCUAGUUCUCCACCAGGAAAGCAGCAAGAGGAGCCCUGCCUCUGGGUGCCUCUGCCCCACAGGAAGUUUGUCUGCCAUGCGUUUCCUCACCGCCUUGAACUUGGAGCAUCCAGAGAUGCUGGAGAAAGCGUCCCGGGAGCUGUGGAUGCGCGUCUGGUCAAGGAAUGAAGACAUCACCGAGCCCCAGAGCAUCCUGGCGGCUGCAGAGAAGGCUGGUAUGUCUGCAGAACAAGCCCAGGGACUUCUGGAAAAGAUGUCAACACCAAAGGUGAAGAACCAGCUCAAGGAGACCACCGAGGCAGCCUGCAGAUAUGGGGCCUUUGGGCUGCCCAUCACCGUGGCCCAUGUGGAUGGCCAAACCCACAUGUUAUUUGGCUCUGACCGGAUGGAGCUGCUGGCGCACCUGCUGGGAGAGAAGUGGAUGGGCCCUGUACCUCCAGCUGUGAAUGCCAGACUUUAAGAUUGCCCGGAGGAAGCAAACUCUUCAUAUAAAAGAAGCAGGCCAUCUGCUUAACCCUUGGGUCCACCAUAAGGCACUGGGACUUGGAUUUCUCUAUCUGAUAGAGAAACUCCCCUGGUCUCUCUGUCAGCAACAGAAAACCAAGCCAGAUGGACUUUGCAACUAACCAGUUUGGGAUUUACUGUCUUCUGACCAACCACAGUGACUGAGAUGGGGCUGGGACCAGAAGCCCAGUGGGAGUGAACAGCAGAGGCAACCAGAGUCUGGCUGAGCUUGUGCCCAGAUAUUUAAACUGGGUCCAGCCACACCUGCAGAACCAGGGCAAGGCAGUACUGGGAAACUGGCUGGAGUUGCUGCGGUUUGGAAAAGUUGCACACCCUCUCAUAGAUACCUCCCUUAACCCUCAGUGCAGAUUCUGAGAAAACUCCAAGGCUUCUCUGCCUAACCUAGUAUAACCCCUGUUCCCUACUACAUACAUAUAACUUUUCCAUUCCCCCAGUAAUUGACCCAAAGUCCCUGCCUCUAGCUGUGCCCAUUGUGCAAUUAUCAGAAUCCCUUGUUUCAAUAGUAUUUUGACUUCUUUAAGAAUACUCUGUAUUUGGAAGCUGAAACCUCACCUGGAUCCAUUGUUGGGAACCAAGUACAGAGCCUUACAUAGCCCAGAGGAGUUUCAGGAACAAUGCCACUUUCCCUUCCAUCCCUCCCUCUGGGUCUGGCUCUUCCCAUAGUCCAUUUUCCCCUUUUAUCUCCCAUUAAUUUCUGUAUUCCUCUCUCACCUUUUCCAUGUCUCUAGCAUCCUCCAGGAUUUAAAAUCAUCUUUACCCAGCUUAUCUGUGAAGUAAUGGCAAAAGAACAUAUCCAAAUUAAGUACUCCUUUUCUUCAAAGGAGUUUCAUGGGAUGUACAGCUAGUAUAAAAUAAAAAUAUGGGAAGAUGUCCAAUCUUAAAAAUCAUAAGGGCAAAUUAAGACAAAACUAAGCUGCCCAGAGCAGGGUGAUUGGAACCAGUUUUAUGAAUAAAGAUGCUUGUCUCAGCACUAUUUGUGGAUAUCAAAAAUUGUGAACAACUUAAACACCUAUCAGGAGGAGAAUACUUUAAUCAAUUAUGGCACAUUCAGGAGAUAAUGUUUUACAGUCAUCAAAAAUUGUACAUGAGGGCCAGCACGGUGGCUCACACCUGUAAUCCCAGUACUUUGGGAGGCCAAGGCAAGCGGAUCACCUGAGGUCAGGAGUUCAAGACCAGCCUGGCUAACAUGGUAAAACCCUAUUUCCACUAAAAAUACAAAAAAGUAACCCGGUGUGGUGGCACGUGCCUGUAAUACCAGCUACUAGAGAGGCUGAGGCAGGAGAAUCGCUUGAACCUGGGAGGCGGAGGUUGCGGUGAGCUGAGAUUGCGCCAUUGCACUCCAGCUUGGGCAACAAGAGCGAAACUCUGUCUCAAAAAAAAAAAAACUGUAUUUCUGAAGAAUUGUUAAGAACAUUGGAAAUUCUUGAGAUAUAAUAUUGAUUGGAAAAAGAUGAAACUAUAUGGUAUGAUCUCAAUAUGUCUUGAUGAAUAAAAACAUAAUACAGAGGAUAUUAUUCUGAGAUAAAAUAUAUCAAAAUCUUUCCAUUUUAUUUGUAUACUUUUAAAAUUUUUGAUUUUUUAAAAUGUAUUCUGAUACACAAAAUAAU
Molecule: small RNA, 2695 nt
Filed under: Pongo abelii (Sumatran orangutan)
Lineage: Eukaryota; Metazoa; Chordata; Mammalia; Primates; Hominidae
Description: retained intron
Source: RNAcentral